Molecule: ribosomal RNA, 1132 nt
Filed under: human gut metagenome
Description: bacterial LSU rRNA
Rfam family: Bacterial large subunit ribosomal RNA
Source: RNAcentral
CCAAUCGAACUCGGAGAUAGCUGGUUCUCCCCGAAAUAGCUUUAGGGCUAGCCUCGUUUUAAAUUACCGGGGGUAGAGCACUGAAUGGGCUAGGGGGCCACAAAGCUUACCGAACCCUAUCAAACUUCGAAUACCGGAUAAUUGAUGAACGGGAGUCAGACGGCGGGAGAUAAGUUUCGUCGUCAAAAGGGAAACAGCCCAGAUCUACGACUAAGGUCCCGAAAUCACAGUUAAGUGGAAAAGGAUGUGCAGUUGCACAGACAACCAGGAUGUUGGCUUAGAAGCAGCCACUCAUUUAAAGAGUGCGUAAUAGCUCACUGGUCGAGUGAUUGUGCGCCGAAAAUGUACCGGGGCUAAACUGUGUACCGAAGUCUAGGGAUCGUGAUAAACGAUCGGUAGGGGAGCAACGUGUGCGGGCUGAAGCCGAAGCGGAAGCGACGGUGGACUGCACGGGAGAGAGAAUGCCGGCAUGAGUAGCGAGAGCAAAGUGAGAAUCUUUGCCGUCGAAAGCCUAAGGUUUCCUGAGGAAGGCUCGUCCUCUCAGGGUAAGUCAGGACCUAAGCCGAGGACAAAAGUCGUAGGCGAUGGACAACUGGUUGAUAUUCCAGUACCACCUUUAGCGUUUGACUGAAGCAGUGACACAGAAGGAUAGACAGAGCGCGUGACUGGUAGAGCGCGUCCAAGCGAUGAGGGAGUUAAGUAGUGAAGAACGCUUAACAAUCCUGGGUCGUGAUGGGGACUGAAAAUAAGUAGGGAAGCUGUUGAAUUCACGCUGGCGAGAAAAGCUGCUAAGGAGCGAAAGGGUGCCUGUACCGCAAACCGACACAGGUAGGCGAGGAGAGAAUCCUAAGACGAGCGGGAGAACCCAUGUUAAGGAACUCGGCAAAAUGACCCUGUAACUUCGGGAUAAAGGGAGCCACGAGAGUGGCCGCAGAGAAUAGGCCCAAGCGACUGUUUACCAAAAACACAGGUCUGUGCGAAGUAGAGAUACGACGUAUACGGGCUGACGCCUGCCCAGUGCCGGAAGGUUAAGGGGAAGUGUUAGGGCAACCGAAGCACGGAACUUAAGCCCCGGUGAACGGCGGCCGUAACUAUAACGGUCCUAAGGUAGCGAAAUUCCUUGUCGGGUAAG